GACGAACGCUGGCGGCGCGCCUAACACAUGCAAGUCGAACGGAGUCACGAGGAGCUUGCUUUUCUUGACUUAGUGGCGAACGGGUGAGUAACGCGUGAGUAACCUGCCCUGGAGUGGGGGACAACAUUUGGAAACGACUGCUAAUACCGCAUAAGCCCACGGAUCUGCAUGGAUCUGCGGGAAAAGGAUUUAUUCGCUCUAGGAUGGACUCGCGUCCAAUUAGCUAGUUGGUGAGGUAACGGCCCACCAAGGCGACGAUUGGUAGCCGGACUGAGAGGUUGAACGGCCACAUUGGGACUGAGACACGGCCCAGACUCAUACGGGAGGCAGAAGUGGGGGAUAUUGCACAAUGGGGGAAACCCUGAUGAAGCGACGCCGCGUGGAGGAAGAAGGUUUUCGGAUUGUAAACUCCUGUCGUGAGGGACGAUAAUGACGGUACCUAACAAGAAAGCACCGGCUAACUACGUG
Molecule: ribosomal RNA, 468 nt
Filed under: uncultured bacterium
Lineage: Bacteria
Description: partial 16S ribosomal RNA
Rfam family: Bacterial small subunit ribosomal RNA
Source: RNAcentral